AUCAUUACUGAACCGUCGACAUGAGUUGUUGCUGGUCCCCCAAGGGGGCAUGUGCACAUUCUGUCUACACAUCCACUCACACCUGUGCACUCUCUGUAGCUCUAUGGCCUUGGGGACUCUGUCCCCUUGCUGUGGUCCUACAUCUUUACACACACACCGUAUUACAGUCUCAUGGAAUGCAUGUCGCGUUUAACGCAAUACAAUACAACUUUCAGCAACGGAUCUCUUGGCUCUCGCAUCGAUGAAGAACGCAGCGAAAUGCGAUAAGUAAUGUGAAUUGCAGAAUUCAGUGAAUCAUCGAAUCUUUGAACGCACCUUGCGCCCUUUGGCCAUUCCGAAGGGCAUGCCUGUUUGAGUAUCAUGAACACCUCAACUCUCAUGGUCCGCCAUGAUGAGCUUGGACUUUGGGGGUCUUGCCGGCCUAACCGUUGGCUCCUCUCAAAUGAAUCAGCUUGCCAGUGUUUGGUGGCAUCACGGGUGUGAUAAAUAUCUACGCCUGCGCUCUUCCACCAGGUAACCUUCAGUGAUGGAGGUUCGCUGGAGCUCACAGACGUCCUCUUCCCAUGGAGGACAGCUUUUGAACGUUUGAUCUCAAAUCAGGUAGGACUACCCGCUGAACUUAAGCAUAUCAAUAAGCGGAGGA
This 643-nucleotide ribosomal RNA is filed under the name uncultured Tomentella. Its description in RNAcentral is "eukaryotic LSU rRNA". The stretch from base 207 to 361 matches the Rfam family "5.8S ribosomal RNA". Lineage: Eukaryota; Fungi; Basidiomycota; Agaricomycetes; Thelephorales; Thelephoraceae. The record is from RNAcentral.